This 45-nucleotide non-coding RNA is filed under the name Schistosoma mansoni. The record is from RNAcentral. Lineage: Eukaryota; Metazoa; Platyhelminthes; Trematoda; Strigeidida; Schistosomatidae.
AUCCAGCUGACGAGUUCCAAAUAGAGUAAAACGUGCUUCCUGGAU